Molecule: long non-coding RNA, 794 nt
Organism: Carassius gibelio (silver crucian carp)
Lineage: Eukaryota; Metazoa; Chordata; Actinopteri; Cypriniformes; Cyprinidae
Exons: 2
Source: RefSeq, a predicted model, not a curated record
UCUGGAUAUGAUCUAUCAUGCCUGCUCUAUCCAACACAGCUUUCUGUCCAGGGUCCAGCUUGGACAUCUCCAACAGACUGCUCUUUGUGGAGUUGAAGGAGGAGACACUACUUAAUCAAAGGAUGCGGCUCAGCUUAAUCACAGGAGUGAUUUGCAGAUAAAGCUUUAUGAAAGUUUGUCGGUGCUUUAAAGGGUCUAAUGGUUUGGCUGAAACAUCAGGCCAGUCAAACUCAAGGUAUAGGUUGGAGAUUUCGGUAGUGCUAGCAGUUGAGUUUAGUAGUGAUGGAAGAUUUGUUUUGUAACUAAACCAGGGAUCUAAACCAGAAGACUGCAACGGACUGUUAGGACCGCAGAAAGGAUCAUUGGUGUGCACCUACCCAGUCUUCAGGAAAGUGAAGAAACGGCCAGGUUCUCCUGUUCCUUGGGUGCUAUGGUUCAGAAAUGACCUGGAGAUUGAUAUGGAUCAAUCGGAGCAAGGAGUGUCUUUGGCUGAGAAUGGCUCUCUGGUGAUUGGCUCAGUUUCAGCCAGUCACAGUGGAGAUUUUAAGUGUGUGGCCACUAAUGAAGCAGGAUCAGUGGAGAGGAAGACCAGGCUAAAGAACAAUUGUGAGACUCUGACGUCACACUGAAGCAGCCCCUCACACUUGGAUGUGGUGCUUUCAGUAUCCCAACCCCAACCUUCACCUGGACUAAAGACAACACACCUGUAGGACUUUUCAUAAACAUUGUGUUAUGUAGCAAAUAAUGCUGUCAUCCUGUCAUUGUCACGAAAUAUAACCCAAUAGGAUUACCAA